GUCUCAGAAGAAGAUCAAAUUCUACACAUUUUAGCUGAUUUGGGUUUUGAAUAUGAUGCUUUUGUGAUCUCCAUUAUAACAUGGAUUGAACCUUUACGAUUCCAAGAAGUAUGUGCAAUGCUUUUGGC
This is a small nucleolar RNA of Ziziphus jujuba (common jujube), 128 nucleotides long. RefSeq annotates it as small nucleolar RNA Z247. Lineage: Eukaryota; Viridiplantae; Streptophyta; Magnoliopsida; Rosales; Rhamnaceae. The transcript has a single exon. The record is from RefSeq and is a predicted model, not a curated record.